Molecule: unclassified non-coding RNA, 355 nt
Filed under: soil metagenome
Description: partial contains 5.8S ribosomal RNA, internal transcribed spacer 2, and large subunit ribosomal RNA
Rfam family: 5.8S ribosomal RNA (bases 1-120)
Source: RNAcentral
GAUGAAGAACGCAGCGAAAUGCGAUAAGUAAUGCGAAUUGCAGAAUUCAGUGAAUCAUCGAAUCUUUGAACGCACAUUGCGCCCGCUAGUAUUCUGGCGGGCAUGCCUGUCUGAGCGUCAUUUCAACCCUCGCCCCCGGCUUUUGCUGGGAGCGGUGUUGGGGAUCGGCCGCCCGUCACUGGGAGGCCGGCCCCGAAAUAGAGUGGCGACCACGCCGUGUGCUCCUCUGCGUAGUAGUAAAUCACCUCGCAGGCGGACAGCGGUGCGGCCUGCCGUAAAACCCCCAACUCUUUCUGGUUGACCUCAGAUCAGGUAUGAAUACCCGCUGAACUUAAGCAUAUCAAUAAGCGGAGGA